UACGUAGGGUGCGAGCGUUGUCCGGAAUUAUUGGGCGUAAAGAGCUCGUAGGCGGUCUGUCGCGUCGAUCGUGAAAACUUGGGGCUUAACCCUGAGCUUGCGGUCGAUACGGGCAUGACUGGAGUUCGCAGGGGAGACUGGAAUUCCUGGUGUAGCGGUGAAAUGCGCAGAUAUCAGGAGGAACACCGGUGGCGAAGGCGGGUCUCUGGGCCGAUACUGACGCUGAGGAGCGAAAGCGUGGGGAGCGAACAGG
Molecule: ribosomal RNA, 253 nt
Filed under: uncultured bacterium
Lineage: Bacteria
Description: partial 16S ribosomal RNA
Rfam family: Bacterial small subunit ribosomal RNA
Source: RNAcentral